Molecule: ribosomal RNA, 397 nt
Filed under: uncultured bacterium
Lineage: Bacteria
Description: partial 16S ribosomal RNA
Rfam family: Bacterial small subunit ribosomal RNA
Source: RNAcentral
AUACGUAGGUGACAAGCGUUAUCCGGAUUUACUGGGCGUAAAGGGCGAGUAGGCGGUCUUGCAAGUCAGAAGUGAAAUUCCUGAGCUCAACUCGGGCGCUGCUUCUGAAACUGCAGGACUUGAGUGCUGGAGGGGAUAGCGGAAUUCCUAGUGGAGCGGUAAAAUGCGCAGAUAUCAGGCGGAACACCGGUGGCGAAGGCGGACUCCUGGACCAUACCUGACACUCAGACGCGAAAGCUAGGGUAGCAAACGGGAUUAGAGACCCCGGUAGUCCUAGCCCUAAACGAUGUAGACUAGGCGUCGGAAGUUUAAUCACUUUCGGUGUCCAAGCUAACGCGAUAAGUCUACCGCCUGGGGACUACGGCCGCAAGGUUAAAACUCAAAGGAAUUGACGGGG